This 69-nucleotide transfer RNA is filed under the name Urocitellus parryii (Arctic ground squirrel). RNAcentral's name for it is "Spermophilus parryii (Arctic ground squirrel) tRNA". It matches the Rfam family "tRNA". Rfam says of the family: Transfer RNA (tRNA) molecules are approximately 80 nucleotides in length. Their secondary structure includes four short double-helical elements and three loops (D, anti-codon, and T loops). RNAcentral also lists the same sequence under 2 other names. The record is from Rfam by way of RNAcentral. Lineage: Eukaryota; Metazoa; Chordata; Mammalia; Rodentia; Sciuridae.
GGGGUUGGGGCUCAAUGGUAGAGUGCUUGCCUAGCAUUCAUGAGGCUCUGGGUUCAAUUCUCAGCACCA